This 303-nucleotide ribosomal RNA is filed under the name uncultured bacterium. RNAcentral's name for it is "partial 16S ribosomal RNA". It matches the Rfam family "Bacterial small subunit ribosomal RNA", at positions 507 to 807 of the family's 1533-position model. The record is from RNAcentral.
AGCAGCCGCCACGGUAAUACGUAGGUGGCAAGCGUUGUCCGGAAUUAUUGGGCGUAAAGGGCUUGCAGGCGGUUUCUUAAGUCUGAUGUGAAAGCCCCCGGCUCAACCGGGGAGGGUCAUUGGAAACUGGGAAACUUGAGUGCAGAAGAGGAGAGUGGAAUUCCACGUGUAGCGGUGAAAUGCGUAGAGAUGUGGAGGAACACCAGUGGCGAAGGCGACUCUCUGGUCUGUAACUGACGCUGAGGAGCGAAAGCGUGGGGAGCAAACAGGAUUAGAUACCCCGGUAGUCCCUGUCUCUUAUAC